RNAcentral lists this ribosomal RNA (159 nucleotides) under Pythium sp. UZ263. Its description in RNAcentral is "5.8S ribosomal RNA". It matches the Rfam family "5.8S ribosomal RNA". Rfam says of the family: 5.8S ribosomal RNA (5.8S rRNA) is a component of the large subunit of the eukaryotic ribosome. It is transcribed by RNA polymerase I as part of the 45S precursor that also contains 18S and 28S rRNA. Functionally, it is thought that 5.8S rRNA may be involved in ribosome translocation. The record is from RNAcentral. Lineage: Eukaryota; Oomycota; Peronosporomycetes; Pythiales; Pythiaceae.
CAACUUUCAGCAGUGGAUCUCUAGGCUCGCACAUCGAUGAAGAACGCUGCGAACUGCGAUACGUAAUGCGAAUUGCAGAAUUCAGUGAGUCAUCCAAAUUUUGAACGCAUAUUGCACUUUCGGGUUAGACCUGGAAGUAUGUCUGUAUCAGUGUCCGUA